AGCGAACGCUGGCGGCAGGCUUAACACAUGCAAGUCGAACGGGCAUCUUCGGAUGUCAGUGGCAGACGGGUGAGUAACACGUGGGAACGUACCCUUCGGUUCGGAAUAACUCAGGGAAACUUGAGCUAAUACCGGAUACGCCCUUUUGGGGAAAGGUUUACUGCCGAAGGAUCGGCCCGCGUCUGAUUAUCUUGUUGGUGGGGUAACGGCCUACCAAGGCGACGAUCAGUAGCUGGUCUGAGAGGAUGAUCAGCCACACUGGGACUGAGACACGGCCCAGACUCCUACGGGAGGCAGCAGUGGGGAAUAUUGGACAAUGGGCGCAAGCCUGAUCCAGCCAUGCCGCGUGAGUGGUGAAGGCCUUAGGGUUGUAAAGCUCUUUUGUCCGGGACGAUAAUGACGGUACCGGAAGAAUAAGCCCCGGCUAACUUCGUG
Molecule: ribosomal RNA, 435 nt
Filed under: uncultured bacterium
Lineage: Bacteria
Description: partial 16S ribosomal RNA
Rfam family: Bacterial small subunit ribosomal RNA
Source: RNAcentral